RNAcentral lists this ribosomal RNA (381 nucleotides) under uncultured marine Chaetocerotaceae. Its description in RNAcentral is "SSU rRNA". It matches the Rfam family "Eukaryotic small subunit ribosomal RNA", at positions 587 to 972 of the family's 1831-position model. The record is from RNAcentral. Lineage: Eukaryota; Bacillariophyta; Thalassiosirophyceae; Chaetocerotales; Chaetocerotaceae.
AGCUCCAAUAGCGUAUAUUAAAGUUGCUGCAGUUAAAAAGCUCGUAGUUGCAUUUCCGAGGCAAGGGAUUAGUUCGACCUUUGGUGGGUAUUUAAUCCUCUUGCCUCGUCCUUGAGUGGUGCUUCUUGGUAUUAAGUUAUCGAGGAGAUAGCCGCUCAUCGUUUACUGUGAGAAAAUUAGAGUGUUCAAAGCAGGCUUAUGCCGUUGAAUAUAUUAGCAUGGAAUAAUAAGAUAGGACCUCGGUACUAUUUUGGUGGUUUGAGAACCAAGGUAAUGAUGAAUAGGGACAGUUGGGGGUAUUCGUAUUCAGUUGUCAGAGGUGAAAUUCUUAGAUUUACGGAAGACGAACUACUGCGAAAGCAUUUACCAAGGAUGUUUUCA